CCUACGGGUGGCAGCAGUGAGGAAUAUUGGUCAAUGGCCGGAAGGCUGAACCAGCCAUGCCGCGUGAAGGUCAGUGCCCUAUGGGCGUUAAACUUCUUUUGUGCGGGAGCAAUAAUGGUCACGUGUGGCCAGACGAGAGUACCGUACGAAUAAGCAUCGGCUAACUCCGUGCCAGCAGCGGCGGUAAUACGGGGGAGGCAAGCGUUAUCCGGAUUUAUUGGGGUUAAAGGGGGCGUAGGCUGUGAGGUAAGUCAGCGGUGAAAUGCCCCCGCUCAACGGGGUGAAGUGCCAUUGAUACUGCCUUCCUGGAAUGCGGCGGCCGUAGGAGGAAUGUGUGGUGUAGCGGUGAAAUGCAUAGAUAUCACACAGAACCCCGAUUGCGAAGGCAUCUCACGAUUCCGCGAUUGACGCUGAUGCACGAAAGCGUGGGUAUCAAACAGGAUUAGAUACCCCUGUAGUC
This 460-nucleotide ribosomal RNA is filed under the name uncultured bacterium. RNAcentral describes it as "partial 16S ribosomal RNA". It matches the Rfam family "Bacterial small subunit ribosomal RNA", at positions 338 to 795 of the family's 1533-position model. The record is from RNAcentral.